Molecule: ribosomal RNA, 393 nt
Filed under: uncultured bacterium
Lineage: Bacteria
Description: partial 16S ribosomal RNA
Rfam family: Bacterial small subunit ribosomal RNA
Source: RNAcentral
AUACGUAGGGGCGAGCGUUGUCCGGAUUUAUUGGGCGUAAAGGGUGUGUAGGCGGCCUUGUAAGUCAGAUGUGAAAGAUCAUGGCUUAACUGUGGUAAGCAUUUGAAACUGCAGGGCUUGAGUACAGGAGGGGAUAGCGGAAUUCCUAGUGGAGCGGUAAAAUGCGCAGAUAUUAGGAAGAAUACCAGUGGCGAAGGCGGUUUGCUGGCUGCAUACUGACGCUGAAGCGCGAAAGCCAGGGGAGCAAACGGGAUUAGAUACCCCGGUAGUCCUGGCAGUAAACGAUGUAUGCUGGGUGUGGGAGUAGCGAUACCUCCGUGCCGAAGUUAACGCGAUAAGCAUACCGCCUGGGGAGUACGGUCGCAAGAUUGAAACUCAAAGGAAUUGACGGGG